Molecule: RNA transcript, 4884 nt
Organism: Gallus gallus (chicken)
Lineage: Eukaryota; Metazoa; Chordata; Aves; Galliformes; Phasianidae
Gene: KIFAP3
Gene name: kinesin associated protein 3
Exons: 21
Source: RefSeq, a predicted model, not a curated record
GGGGCCGCGGGGCGGGGUUCGCGUUCACCCUGGUAACAGCACCGCUGCGGGGCCGCGCCCUGCCCGAGCCGUCCCCGGCGCCAUGCAGGGCGAGGACGCCCGGUACCUCAAGAGGAAGGUAAAAGGAGGCAACAUAGAUGUGCAUCCGUCGGAGAAAGCCCUCAUUGUCCAUUAUGAAGUGGAAGCAACAAUUCUGGGGGAGACAGGAGACCCUAUGCUGGGGGAGCGCAAAGAGUGUCAGAAAAUCAUUCGGCUAAAGAGUCUCAAUGCAAAUACAGACAUUGCUUCCCUGGCUCGAAAGGUGGUUGAAGAAUGCAAGCUCAUUCACCCUUCCAAACUUGCAGAAGUGGAACAGCUGUUAUACUAUCUACAGAACCGCAGAGAUGCGUCAGCAGGAAAAGAAAAGAAAGAGAAAUCCAGUAAGCCAAAAGAUCCACCACCAUUUGAAGGCAUGGAGAUUGAUGAAGUUGCCAAUAUCAAUGACAUGGAUGAGUACAUUGAAUUACUGUAUGAGGACAUUCCCGACAAGGUGCGUGGCUCUGCCCUCAUCUUGCAGCUGGCUCGGAAUCCCGAUAAUCUGGAAGAACUGCUUAUCAAUGAAACUGCCCUGGGUGCAUUGGCUAGAGUGCUGCGAGAGGACUGGAAACAAAGUGUGGAACUUGCUACCAAUAUAAUAUACAUUUUCUUCUGCUUCUCAAGUUUUUCUCAAUUUCACGGCAUAAUCACACACUACAAAAUUGGAGCUCUGUGUAUGAAUAUCAUAGACCAUGAGCUGAAGAGGCAUGAGCUUUGGCAGGAAGAACUUGCUAAAAAGAAGAAAGCUGUUGAUGAAGAUCCUGAAAAUCAAACUUUGAAGAAGGACUAUGAGAAAACCUAUAAGAAAUAUCAAGGGCUAGUUGUCAAGCAGGAGCAGCUACUCAGAGUUGCACUUUACCUGCUCCUGAAUCUCGCAGAGGAUACUCGCACUGAGCUGAAGAUGAGAAACAAGAACAUUGUCCAUAUGUUAGUGAAAGCCCUGGACCGUGAUAAUUUUGAGCUGCUUAUCCUGGUUGUAUCUUUCUUGAAGAAACUUAGCAUUUUCAUGGAGAACAAAAAUGAUAUGGUAGAAAUGGAUAUUGUUGAAAAACUUGUGAAAAUGGUACCUUGUGAACAUGAAGACCUCCUGAACAUCACCCUCCGACUCUUACUGAAUCUCUCCUUUGACACAAGCCUGAGAAAUAAAAUGGUGCAAGUUGGUCUGCUUCCCAAACUCACUGCGCUCCUAGCAAAUGAAAACUACAAGCAAGUAGCUAUGUGUAUUCUAUAUCACAUAAGCAUGGAUGAUCGUUUCAAGUCGAUGUUUGCAUAUACAGACUGUAUCCCACAGCUGAUGAAAAUGCUCUUUGAGUGUCCUGAUGAGAGAGUUGACCUGGAGCUUAUUUCUUUCUGUAUUAACCUUGCUGCUAACAAAAGAAAUGUGCAACUUAUCUGUGAAGGAAAUGGUUUGAAAAUGCUCAUGAAAAGAGCGUUGAAAUUUAAGGACCCAUUGUUAAUGAAGAUGAUCAGGAAUAUUUCACAACACGAUGGGCCUACUAAAAAUCUGUUUAUUGAUUAUGUUGGUGAUUUGGCAGCUCAAAUAUCAAAUGAUGAAGAGGAAGAAUUUGUGAUUGAAUGCCUGGGAACGCUUGCAAACUUGACCCUACCAGAUCUGGAUUGGGAGCUUGUGCUGAAAGAGUACAAACUCGUUCCAUACCUCAAGGAUAAGCUGAAACCAGGUCUGUACAAAGGUUCUGCAGAAGAUGACCUUGUUUUAGAAGUGGUGAUAAUGAUUGGAACUGUUUCUAUGGAUGACUCUUGUGCUGCUCUGCUGGCCAAAUCUGGAAUCAUUCCUGCCCUCAUUGAGCUUUUAAAUGCUCAGCAGGAAGAUGAUGAGUUUGUCUGCCAGAUCAUCUAUGUUUUUUAUCAGAUGGUCUUCCACCAAGCCACCAGAGAUGUCAUUAUCAAAGAAACUCAGGCUCCAGCAUAUCUUAUAGACCUGAUGCAUGAUAAAAAUGCUGAGAUACGCAAAGUUUGUGACAACACUCUGGACAUUAUAGCGGAAUAUGAUGAGGAAUGGGCGAAAAAAAUUCAGAGUGAGAAAUUUCGAUGGCACAACUCUCAGUGGCUGGAGAUGGUGGAGAGUCGGCAGAUGGAUGACAGUGAGCAGUAUCUGUAUGGGGAUGAUCCUAUUGAGCCCUACAUCCACGAAGGAGAUAUUCUGGAAAGACCUGAUCUCUACUACAAUGCAGAUGGCCUAAUAGCACCCGAUGGAGCAGUGAGUCCAGACUUCUUCAGUGACUAUCAUCUUCAAAACGGAGACCUCGUUGGGCAGCAUCCCUUCUCUAGCAGUCUUUGUGUCUUCUGGGAAGAAUCUUGAGCGUCCAUGGAUAAGAGUUAAAGUAGAUCACUCAGCCUCAAAUUUCAAGCCCUUUUCAGGGAGUUGCAUUAGUAAGAUGCGUUUUCAUCCGAUUGUCUUCCCACUAAAUUGAGUAGCAAAGUAUACCUGGUAUAUCCUUAAUUAAAAUAAACAUUUGUACAACUUCUUUGCAAUGUCUCCAGGGGUUUUGGAGGCCUGCCUCAAAAACAGAGGACAGACAAAAACUAGUUUGACUAACAACGAGCUUAGUAAUUGCCUGCUGUUGAUAGCCCCUGUAAAUAUUCAGAUUUCUCAUUACAAUUCUGUUUUCUAGGAAAGCUUUUUUUUUUUUGUAUGAUUGCUCCAUGGGUUUAUCUGCAGUCCAGACGCAGUCUAAUUGGAAACAGCGUGUACUGCUGCAAAUGUUCUGUCCCAUUUGUAACAGAGCAGGACUGAAUUGUUUGAUAGAAUAGAUACUGGCAGUCGGAUGGCGAAUCCUAGUUUUCAGAUGUGUGUCAUUAUCGUUUUGAACUUCUUGGCGCCAGAAGCCAGGAUUUCCUGAUGCUUAGAGCUAAUGUAAAAUGCAUUAUUGCUCUGAGGCAUGAGCCGUGGAACUGCCAGUCCCAUGAGCUUGAAGAGUCAGACCCUCCCUUUUCCCAAAUUUGAAUUGGUGUUGGAAGGUAAAACCAUACGUGCUACAGACCCUAAUUAAAAAUAAUAGCAGCAAGUCAAGGCUCUUUUUAUGUGUUAUAUAGUGUACAUUUCAUCCAUACCAAAACAUAAUUCUAGGGUAUUUUUAUGCUUACAGUUUAGAGCUAACAAGAACCUUAUGUCAGGGAUUUGUUUUCAACCAGUUCCAGCUUUUAAUAAAUCUAGAUUUUUGUUAUAAAAAUGGUUCGUGUUUCUAUUAUUAAUAUUUGGGUAUGUUUUCAGAAACUUUUAAAGAAAGCUGAGUUACGAUUGUCAAUUAAUGGUAACAUUUUUUGUGAGUUUGAAGGGGGAUGGCUUUUAUAAUGAGUAAAUGCAUGUUUUUCAGUCUUCUCAUUUGUUAUACUUUAUUAUGCGUUUAGUUGUUGUGGUUGUGUCUUCUGGUCUUGGUUUUUUUUUUUAGUAUGUAUUUAUUAGGCUUUAUUUUGUAGUAGAAAGAGCUGUUUACUAAGCAAUGGAGAGAGCUGGUAAGGAGUCUUUUCCACUGUCUAAGCGUGCCCUGAGAAAUUUGAGGUAGGUAAUGACCACGAGGAGACUUCUUUCUACUCAGCUUUGAGUAAUUCUUUCUCCUUCUUUUCUGCAGUCCUGUGAGGAAGAGUUAGAAUACAUCCGGUCUUUAAUUUCUCUGAUGGUUUUUCUUAGCCUCGUGUCAUGUUAAGACUGGAUUAGGGCUUCUCCUUGUCUUCAGGAGAGCCUGCAUAAAUGUACCUACAGGUCAGCUGUAAAACCUGACCUUUCUAGUGCCUGCGUAUCGUUGAGAAACUGCGUUGGCAUUGAACUAUUGCUGCUGCCCCCAGUACAUUUAUAAGGGAGGCAUUACUGAGACUGAAGCCUGUCUGAUCACCAGCUUAUUUUUUUGGAGCCAAGGAAAGGGAUCUGUAAGGAAAGUUUUCAAGGAUCGCAGCCGAACUCAAGUUGCUUGAAAGAUUUUCACCAUAAGCAAUAUUCAGCGAUACCUGUAUGAGGAAAGUCAGCCCACACCAGUUGCCGUGUAUCAGAUUGUUAUACCAGUUAUGCUGCAUGAAGCAGAUAGUGAAAACCACGUGCUGCUUUGGUUGUAGGAUGUUAGCUCUAGCAGAGGUCCAAGGACUACCUUUGAAGUUCCACCAAGUUGUAUUCAAGAAAAUUCAGGGGCAAUGGAGCAGCAGAUGUAUACAGAUGUGUGAUCAGUGAAAUUACUGACUUCAGUGUAACGCAGUCUGGACAUCACUGCAAUCUCCUGUGGAGUCCCUGUCCUAAGAGAGACAGUACCUCCAUACCCAGCUGUGCUGCACAGUCUUAUGUAGGUAGGCAAGAAUAAAGCAGGAGAUGUAAAAAGUUGCUUAUAUGCACCUGGGCUCCCUGAGCUAGCACAGGGGUUUUUUUCCCCAUUAUUUUUUAACAAGGAAGCAUGAAGUAAUAGUAUUAGCAGUAAGAACAUCUACACAUUUGUUGAACCAGGUGGAAUACCCCAAGGGUUGAAUUUUUCAAAGACAUUGCUUUCCCUUUAUAGGGUUGCUUGGACUUCCCUUUGAAAACUAGACUACUGACUACUGUCAGACUUGAGAAUGCUGCCUUGGAUGAUGAGUUCCUGCAGUACAGAACGACUUUGAAAAGAACUGUAGGAGUACCUAACCCUGAAUUUGUUUUGUAAAUUUGCAUGCUAUUCUGGCCACAUCAUAAAGCAGCAUUGGAGUUGAUGGGUUUGGUCAAUCCCCAGGAGUUCCCGGCCGCCCAGCGACCGCGUAUGGUUACCGCCCCGACGAACCUUACUACUACGGCUACGGAGCACGAUAAAGCACCGCGCUGCUGCUCCCUGCCUG